RNAcentral lists this ribosomal RNA (968 nucleotides) under Glutamicibacter soli. RNAcentral describes it as "bacterial SSU rRNA". It matches the Rfam family "Bacterial small subunit ribosomal RNA", at positions 56 to 1035 of the family's 1533-position model. Lineage: Bacteria; Bacillati; Actinomycetota; Actinomycetes; Micrococcales; Micrococcaceae. The record is from RNAcentral.
UGCAGUCGAACGAUGAAGCCCAGCUUGCUGGGUGGAUUAGUGGCGAACGGGUGAGUAACACGUGAGUAACCUGCCCCUGACUCUGGGAUAAGCCCGGGAAACUGGGUCUAAUACCGGAUAUGACUUUUGACCGCAUGGUUGAGGGUGGAAAGAUUUAUCGGUUGGGGAUGGACUCGCGGCCUAUCAGCUUGUUGGUGAGGUAAUGGCUCACCAAGGCGACGACGGGUAGCCGGCCUGAGAGGGUGACCGGCCACACUGGGACUGAGACACGGCCCAGACUCCUACGGGAGGCAGCAGUGGGGAAUAUUGCACAAUGGGCGCAAGCCUGAUGCAGCGACGCCGCGUGAGGGAUGACGGCCUUCGGGUUGUAAACCUCUUUCAGUAGGGAAGAAGCGAAAGUGACGGUACCUGCAGAAGAAGCGCCGGCUAACUACGUGCCAGCAGCCGCGGUAAUACGUAGGGCGCAAGCGUUAUCCGGAUUUAUUGGGCGUAAAGAGCUCGUAGGCGGUUUGUCGCGUCUAUCGUGAAAGUCCGAGGCUCAACCUCGGAUCUGCGGUGGGUACGGGCAGACUAGAGUGAUGUAGGGGAGACUGGAAUUCCUGGUGUAGCGGUGAAAUGCGCAGAUAUCAGGAGGAACACCGAUGGCGAAGGCAGGUCUCUGGGCAUUUACUGACGCUGAGGAGCGAAAGCAUGGGGAGCGAACAGGAUUAGAUACCCUGGUAGUCCAUGCCGUAAACGUUGGGCACUAGGUGUGGGGGACAUUCCACGUUUUCCGCGCCGUAGCUAACGCAUUAAGUGCCCCGCCUGGGGAGUACGGCCGCAAGGCUAAAACUCAAAAGGAAUUGACGGGGGCCCGCACAAGCGGCGGAGCAUGCGGAUUAAUUCGAUGCAACGCGAAGAACCUUACCAAGGCUUGACAUGUUCCAGAUCGCCUCAGAGAUGGGGUUUCCCUUUCGGGGCUGGUUCAC